Molecule: ribosomal RNA, 294 nt
Filed under: Triticum aestivum (bread wheat)
Lineage: Eukaryota; Viridiplantae; Streptophyta; Magnoliopsida; Poales; Poaceae
Description: partial small subunit ribosomal RNA
Source: RNAcentral
AUGUUUACUGUGGGCUUAGACGUUGAUACGCGUGCCUACUUCACCGCAGCUACCAUGAUCAUAGCUGUGCCCACAGGAAUCAAAAUCUUUAGUUGGAUCGCUACCAUGUGGGGAGGUUCGAUACAAUACAAAACACCCAUGUUAUUUGCUGUAGGGUUCAUCUUUUUGUUCACCAUAGGAGGGCUCACUGGAAUAGUUCUAGCAAACUCUGGGCUAGACAUUGCUCUACAUGAUACUUAUUAUGUGGUUGCACAUUUCCAUUAUGUACUUUCUAUGGGAGCCGUUUUUGCUUUA